This 60-nucleotide transfer RNA is filed under the name Calophya californica. RNAcentral describes it as "tRNA-Leu". The record is from RNAcentral. Lineage: Eukaryota; Metazoa; Arthropoda; Insecta; Hemiptera; Calophyidae.
AUGUGGCAGAAAUAAUGUAAUAAAUUUAAGAUUUAAAAAUGAAUAAAAUUUCCUUUAGAA